GAUGAACGCUGGCGGCGUGCCUAAUACAUGCAAGUCGAGCGAACAGACGAGAAGCUUGCUCCUCUGAUGUUAGCGGCGGACGGGUGAGUAACACGUGGAUAACCUACCUAUAAGACUGGGAUAACUUCGGGAAACCGGAGCUAAUACCGGAUAAUAUUUUGAACCGCAUGGUUCAAAAGUGAAAGACGGUCUUGCUGUCACUUAUAGAUGGAUCCGCGCUGCAUUAGCUAGUUGGUAAGGUAACGGCUUACCAAGGCAACGAUGCAUAGCCGACCUGAGAGGGUGAUCGGCCACACUGGAACUGAGACACGGUCCAGACUCCUACGGGAGGCAGCAGUAGGGAAUCUUCCGCAAUGGGCGAAAGCCUGACGGAGCAACGCCGCGUGAGUGAUGAAGGUCUUCGGAUCGUAAAACUCUGUUAUUAGGGAAGAACAUAUGUGUAAGUAACUGUGCACAUCUUGACGGUACCUAAUCAGAAAGCCACGGCUAACUACGUG
RNAcentral lists this ribosomal RNA (497 nucleotides) under uncultured bacterium. RNAcentral's name for it is "partial 16S ribosomal RNA". It matches the Rfam family "Bacterial small subunit ribosomal RNA", at positions 28 to 507 of the family's 1533-position model. The record is from RNAcentral.